RNAcentral lists this ribosomal RNA (492 nucleotides) under uncultured bacterium. RNAcentral describes it as "partial 16S ribosomal RNA". It matches the Rfam family "Bacterial small subunit ribosomal RNA", at positions 29 to 507 of the family's 1533-position model. The record is from RNAcentral.
AGUGAACGCUGGCGGUAGGCCUAACACAUGCAAGUCGAACGGCAGCACAGUAAGAGCUUGCUCUUACGGGUGGCGAGUGGCGGACGGGUGAGGAAUACAUCGGAAUCUACUUUUUCGUGGGGGAUAACGUAGGGAAACUUACGCUAAUACCGCAUACGACCUACGGGUGAAAGCAGGGGAUCUUCGGACCUUGCGCGAUUGAAUGAGCCGAUGUCGGAUUAGCUAGUUGGCUGGGUAAAGGCCCACCAAGGCGACGAUCCGUAGCUGGUCUGAGAGGAUGAUCAGCCACACUGGAACUGAGACACGGUCCAGACUCCUACGGGAGGCAGCAGUGGGGAAUAUUGAACAAUGGGCGCAAGCCUGAUCCAGCCAUACCGCGUGGGUGAAGAAGGCCUUCGGGUUGUAAAGCCCUUUUGUUGGGAAAGAAAAGCAGCAGGUUAAUACCCCGCUGUUCUGACGGUACCCAAAGAAUAAGCACCGGCUAACUUCGUG